RNAcentral lists this ribosomal RNA (439 nucleotides) under uncultured bacterium. RNAcentral's name for it is "partial 16S ribosomal RNA". It matches the Rfam family "Bacterial small subunit ribosomal RNA", at positions 339 to 795 of the family's 1533-position model. The record is from RNAcentral.
CUACGGGCUGCAGCAGUGGGGAAUCUUAGACAAUGGGCGCAAGCCUGAUCUAGCCAUGCCGCGUGAGUGACGAAGGCCUUAGGGUCGUAAAGCUCUUUCGCUGGGGAAGAUAAUGACGGUACCCAGUAAAGAAACCCCGGCUAACUCCGUGCCAGCAGCCGCGGUAAUACGGAGGGGGUUAGCGUUGUUCGGAAUUACUGGGCGUAAAGCGCGCGUAGGCGGAUCAGAAAGUUGGGGGUGAAAUCCCGGGGCUCAACCCCGGAACUGCCUUCAAAACUCCUGGUCUUGAGUUCGAGAGAGGUGAGUGGAAUUCCGAGUGUAGAGGUGAAAUUCGUAGAUAUUCGGAGGAACACCAGUGGCGAAGGCGGCUCACUGGCUCGAUACUGACGCUGAGGUGCGAAAGCGUGGGGAGCAAACAGGAUUAGAUACCCUCGUAGUC